UACGUAGGUGGCGAGCGUUAUCCGGAUUUAUUGGGUUUAAAGGGAGCGUAGGCGGCUGAUUAAGUCAGCGGUGAAAGGUAGCAGCUUAACUGUUUUACAUGCCGUUGAUACUGGUUAGCUUGAGUUGACAGAAGGCAGAUAGAAUUCCUGGUGUAGCGGUGAAAUGCUUAGAUACCAGGAGGAAUACCGAUUGCGAAGGCAGUCUGCUGCAGUCACACUGAUGCUGAGGCUCGAAGGUGCGGGGAUCAACAGG
RNAcentral lists this ribosomal RNA (253 nucleotides) under uncultured bacterium. RNAcentral describes it as "partial 16S ribosomal RNA". It matches the Rfam family "Bacterial small subunit ribosomal RNA", at positions 524 to 775 of the family's 1533-position model. The record is from RNAcentral.